Molecule: long non-coding RNA, 747 nt
Filed under: Mytilus galloprovincialis (Mediterranean mussel)
Lineage: Eukaryota; Metazoa; Mollusca; Bivalvia; Mytilida; Mytilidae
Source: RNAcentral
UGCCCCACUCGCACUAUCCUUUACCAUGUUCCAUGGACCGUGAAAUUGGAUAAUAAUCUAAUUUGGCAUUAAAAUUAGAAAGAUUAUACUAUAGGGAACAUAUGUACUAAGUUUAAAGUUGAUUGGACUUCAAUUUUAUCAAAAACUACCUUGACCAAAAACUUUAACCUGAAACUCCCACUUUCAUUUUCUAUGUUCAGUGGACCGUGAAAUUGAGGUCAAAAGUCUAAUUUGGCUUUAAAAUUAAAAUGAUCAUAUCAUAAGCAACAAGUUUACUAAGUUUCAAGUUGAUUGGACUUCAGCUUCAUCAAAAACUACCUUGACCAAAAACUUUAACCUGAAACUCCCACUUUCAUUUUCUAUGUUCAGUGGACCGUGAAAUUGGGGUCAAAAGUCUAAUUUGGCUUAAAAUUAGAAAGAUCAUAUCAUAAGCAACAAGUGUACUAAGUUUCAAGUUGAUUGGACUUCAGCUUCAUCAAAAACUACCUUGACCAAAAACUUUAACCUGAAACUCCCACUUUCAUUUUCUAUGUUCAGGGGACCGUGAAAUUGGGGUCAAAAGUCUAAUUUGGCUUUAAAAUUAGAAAGAUCAUAUCAUAAGCAACAAGUGUACUAAGUUUCAAGUUGAUUGGACUUCAGCUUCAUCGAAAACUACCUUGACCAAAAACUUUAACCUGAAACUCCCACUUUCAUUUUCUAUGUUCAGUGGACGUGAAAUUGGGUCAAAGUCUAAUUUGGCUUUAAAAU